This 490-nucleotide ribosomal RNA is filed under the name uncultured bacterium. Its description in RNAcentral is "bacterial SSU rRNA". It matches the Rfam family "Bacterial small subunit ribosomal RNA", at positions 21 to 507 of the family's 1533-position model. The record is from RNAcentral.
GGCUCAGAUUGAACGCUGGCGGCAUGCCUUACACAUAGCAAGUCGAACGGCAGCACGGGGCAACCUGGUGGCGAGUGGCGAACGGGUGAGUAAUGCAUCGGAACGUGCCAUUGAGUGGGGGAUAACGUAGCGAAAGUUGCGCUAAUACCGCAUAUUCUGUGAGCAGGAAAGCAGGGGACCGCAAGGCCUUGCGCUCUUUGAGCGGCCGAUGUCAGAUUAGCUAGUUGGUGAGGUAACGGCUUACCAAGGCGACGAUCUGUAGCGGGUCUGAGAGGAUGAUCCGCCACACUGGAACUGAGACACGGUCCAGACUCCUACGGGAGGCAGCAGUGGGGAAUUUUGGACAAUGGGCGCAAGCCUGAUCCAGCCAUGCCGCGUGAGUGAAGAAGGCCUUCGGGUUGUAAAGCUCUUUCGGCCGGGAAGAAAUCGCAUGGGUUAAUACCCUGUGUGGAUGACGGUACCGGAAUAAGAAGCACCGGCUAACUACGUG